UACGGAGGGGGCUAGCGUUGUUCGGAAUUACUGGGCGUAAAGCGCGCGUAGGCGGACCUGCAAGUCGGGGGUGAAAGCCCGAGGCUCAACCUCGGAACUGCCUUCGAUACUGCGGGUCUCGAGUCCGGGAGAGGUGAGUGGAAUUCCUAGUGUAGAGGUGAAAUUCGUAGAUAUUAGGAAGAACACCAGUGGCGAAGGCGGCUCACUGGCCCGGUACUGACGCUGAGGCACGAAAGCGUGAGGAGCAAACAGG
RNAcentral lists this ribosomal RNA (253 nucleotides) under uncultured bacterium. RNAcentral's name for it is "partial 16S ribosomal RNA". It matches the Rfam family "Bacterial small subunit ribosomal RNA", at positions 524 to 776 of the family's 1533-position model. The record is from RNAcentral.